UCAAAUAUAAGAAUGAAUACUAAUAAAACGCUUAAAUCGAGCUUAUCCUUAAGGUGCUUAUCUUGCCCUGUCUACUUGUGUCGUAUAAUAAUUAUUUAGUUAGUGGCCACUUUGAGGUUGCCAGAACCUAAAUAUAUGACAGGAAAAUAAUUCUCGGCCUAUGCCUUUUCCAGGCUCAACGGACUGGUGUUCUACUAAACGAGUUCAUCGAAUCCGAAAUUGACGACGAUGUUAAUCAAUGCAUUGAAUUCUUUUCUCUGGAAAUGUUGCACCACAACUACAAGGUAGAGCUCUUUGGGUUAUUUUCCGUGGAUAUGUCACUAAUUUAUCAGGCAGUAGCUACAAUGACCGGAUACCUCAUCAUAAUGGUGCAAGUGGAAUUGUCUGAAUAAACGGAAAGUCAUACAUGACACCAUAGCGUAGUAUAUUUAAACUCCAUACUUCUAGCAUGAACAUGUUAAAUCAAAAGUUAAAUCAAUUAGGAAAAACAAUACCCCAAUCAAACUAUAUUAUUCAAGCGAA
Aedes aegypti (yellow fever mosquito) is the source of this 522-nucleotide long non-coding RNA. RefSeq lists it as uncharacterized. The transcript has 3 exons. Lineage: Eukaryota; Metazoa; Arthropoda; Insecta; Diptera; Culicidae. The record is from RefSeq and is marked validated.